Molecule: transfer RNA, 77 nt
Filed under: Chloroflexota bacterium
Lineage: Bacteria; Bacillati; Chloroflexota
Also listed under: 1 other name
Description: Chloroflexi bacterium (groundwater metagenome) tRNA-Val
Rfam family: tRNA
About the family: Transfer RNA (tRNA) molecules are approximately 80 nucleotides in length.
Source: RNAcentral
GGGACGUUAGCUCAGUUGGCUAGAGCGCUUCGUUGACAUCGAAGAGGUCGUAGGUUCGAGUCCUAUACGUCCCACCA